GACGAACGCUGGCGGCGUGCCUAACACAUGCAAGUCGAACGGAGUGAAACGCUGAAUUGAAGGUAGCUUGCUACUGAAUUUUCUUGUUUCACUUAGUGGCGGACGGGUGAGUAACGCGUGAGUAACCUGCCUUACAGAGGGGGGACAACAGUUGGAAACGACUGCUAAUACCGCAUAACGUCUAACCGAGGCAUCUCGGAUAGACCAAAGGAGCAAUCCGCUGUAAGAUGGACUCGCGUCCAAUUAGAUAGUUGGUGGGUAACGGCCACCAAGUCGACGAUUGGUAGCCGGACUGAGAGGUUGAACGGCCACAUUGGGACUGAGACACGGCCCAGACUCCUACGGGAGGCAGCAGUGGGGGAUAUUGCACAAUGGGGGAAACCCUGAUAGCAGCAACGCCGCGUGAGGGAA
Molecule: ribosomal RNA, 411 nt
Filed under: uncultured bacterium
Lineage: Bacteria
Description: bacterial SSU rRNA
Rfam family: Bacterial small subunit ribosomal RNA
Source: RNAcentral